AUUGAACGCUGGCGGCAUGCCUUACACAUGCAAGUCGAACGGUAACAGGUCUUCGGCUGCUGCCGCGUGGCGCACGGGUGUGUGUUACGCCGGAACGCGCCCACACGUGGGGGGUAACGCGGCGCAAGAUUUGCUUAUAUCCCAUACGAUCUCAGAGUGUGAGAGCGGGACCGCAAAACCCUGUGCGCUUGUGGCGCGCCCGAUGUCGGAUUGGCUAGUUGGUGGGGUAAAGGCUUACCAAGGCGACGAUCCGUAGCUGGUCUGAGAGGACGACCAGCCACACUGGGACUGAGACACGGCCCAGACUCCUACGGGAGGCAGCAGUGGGGAAUUUUGGACAAUGGGGGAAAGCCUGAUCCAGCCAUGCCGCGUGCAGGAUGAAGGCCUUCGGGUUGUAAACCGCUUUUGUACGGAACGAAAAGGCUCGGGCUAAUACCUGGGGCACAUGACGGUACCGGAAGAAUAAGCACCGGCUAACUACGUG
Molecule: ribosomal RNA, 484 nt
Filed under: uncultured bacterium
Lineage: Bacteria
Description: partial 16S ribosomal RNA
Rfam family: Bacterial small subunit ribosomal RNA
Source: RNAcentral